AAAAGCUAAUAAGGGCACACGGAGGAUGCCUAGGCAGCAACAGCCGAUGAAGGACGUGAUAAGCUGCGAUAAGCCGGGAGAAGAUGCACAUAAUCAUUGAUCCCCGGAUUUCCGAAUGGGUAAACCUGCAUGCCUGGAGGGCAUGCGUGAAAACGGCAAGCCUGCGAACUGAAACAUCUAAGUAGCAGGAGGAAAAGAAAGUAAAAACGAUUCCCCAAGUAGCGGCGAGCGAACAGGGAAAAGCCUAAACCGUGCCAGUGUCAAGCGGACAGCGUUGCUGGCACGGGGUUGCGGGACUUCCAUUAACGGAUUGUCAUAAUGUUUAAUCUGUAUAUGUGUAAGUGGAACCAGUUGGGAAGCUGGACCGAAGAAGGUGAAAGUCCUGUAGAACAUAAAGCAUAUGUGGAGACUGGAAGCACCCGAGUAGCGUCAGGCACGAGGAAUCUGGCGUGAAUCAGCGUGGACCAAAUCACGUAAGGCUAAAUACUGUUGUUGACCGAUAGUGAAGAGUACCGUGAGGGAAAGGUGAAAAGAACCCUGAGCAAGGGAGUGAAACAGAAUUUGAAACCGUGUGCUUACAAACGGUAGGAGCACUUUAUGUGUGACUGCGUGGAUUUUGGUUAAUCAUCCUGCGAGUUAUGGCUGGUGGCAAGGUUAAUAGACGGAGCCGAAGGGAAACCAAGUCUUAAUAGGGCGUCAAGUCGCCAGUCAUAGACGCGAAACCUAGUGAUCUAGGCCUGUCCAGGCUGAAGCUGAGGUAAGACUCAGUGGAGGGCCGAACUCACCGCCGUUGAAAAGUUGGGAGAUGAGAUAGGUCUAGGGGUGAAAAGCCAAUCGAACUAGGAGAUAGCUCGUUCUCUCCGAAAUGCAUUUAGGUGCAGCCUUGAACUGAGAUAUGUGGGGGUAGAGCUCUGUAUGAUCUAGGGGGCGUACUGCUUACCGAAAUCAAGCAAACUGCGAAUACCAUAUAUCAUGUUCAGGAGUGAGUCCGUGGAUGACAAGGUCCUCGGACGAGAGGGGAACAGCCCAGACCGCCAGCUAAGGUCCCUAAUUAUGUCUAAGUGGGAAAGGAGGUGGACAUUCAUAGACAACCAGGAGGUUGGCUUAGAAGCAGCCAUGCCUUGAAAGAGUGCGUAAUAGCUCACUGGUCGAGAGUGCCUGCGCCGAAGAUGUAACGGGGCUAAGACAUAAACCGAAGCUGCGGAAGAUACACUGUAUCUUGGUAGGAGAGCGUUCUGUAGGCCGUCGAAGGGAUGCCGCAAGGCCGUCCUGGAGGUAUCAGAAGCGAGAAUGCAGGAAUGAGUAGCGAGAAGGCGGGCGAGAAUCCCGCCGGCCGGAAGUCCAAGGUUUCCAGGGGAAGGCUUGUCCGCCCUGGGGAAGUCGGGACCUAAGCAUAAGCAAAAUUGUGAUGGCGAAUGGAAAACAGGUUAAUAUUCCUGUACCGCUGUUAUCGCUUGAGAGACGGAGUGACGCAGGAAGGUAUGCGAGAAGGCUGACGGUUUAGCCUUUCUAAGGGCCCAGCGUGGGCGUGCUGGUAAAUCCGCACGCCUAAACGUGAGACCUGACGGGGAAGUGCAUUUGCAUAAGUCGCAGAUCCUACACUGCCAAGAAAAACUUCUAUCGAUGAGAAGCAGCGCCCGUACUGUAAACCGACACAGGUGGACAGAGUGAGAAACUUAAGGCCGACAGGAUAACUCUAGCUAAGGAACUCUGCAAAAUAGCCCCGUAACUUCGGGAGAAGGGGUGCCUGACAUACCUGAAGGAGAGAAGCGCUCCCAGGGGAAACAGGCCGCAGUGAAGAGUCUCAAGCAACUGUUUACCAAAAACACAGGUCUAUGCUAAGCUGAAAGGCGACGUAUAUGGGCUGACACCUGCCCAGUGCCGGAAGGUUAAGAGGAGGAGUGAGAGCUCCGAUUUGAAGCCCCGGUGAACGGCGGCCGUAACUAUAACGGUCCUAAGGUAGCGAAAUUCCUUGUCGGGUAAGUUCCGACCUGCACGAAUGGUG
Molecule: ribosomal RNA, 2005 nt
Filed under: human metagenome
Description: bacterial LSU rRNA
Rfam family: Bacterial large subunit ribosomal RNA
Source: RNAcentral